Molecule: non-coding RNA, 11190 nt
Organism: Phasianus colchicus (ring-necked pheasant)
Lineage: Eukaryota; Metazoa; Chordata; Aves; Galliformes; Phasianidae
Source: RefSeq, a predicted model, not a curated record
UCAAUACAAUAAAAGCCCCACAAGAAGAUCUGGAAACCUCAGAUCCUCUAGAAAUAAGACCAGUAAUUACCUCAAAAACCAAGACAGUUCAGGAUAGACCAGUUCGGGUUGCCUCCUGCCCACACCACAUUGUGUGCAUACAUGGCUGCUGAAGUAAUGGAGGUGUUAGCAGGCAUUCUUUAUUCUCAGCUCCAGAUGCAUGAGGAGAUCCUUCCACCUCAUCAUGUAUACAAAAGACCUUCAGCUAACCUAACACAACUUGUGUUACAUAUGCAAAGACUUUCCUGGGCAGUACAUAUGUAUUCAGUACUUCCCCUAACACCAUUAACAUUGGCUUCCGCCUCCUUGCACAGCUCCGUCUCUUUGUGGCAGUGGUCCUGAGACCCUCUGGAUGAAGUCAGUGGUCUUCCUCACUGCGACCAUUGCUUGGACCCAGUCUUCACUCAUGCUCAGUCAGCUCUGUGCCUUGAUAGCCAGACUCACUUCCACAGAGUUGGCUGACUCCUUAUCCGCCUGGUAUCCAGGGGCCAGUACAUCAUCCAUUCACUAAAUUAACGUAUUGGUCCUUAGGCUUAUAUAUCCAUCCCAAUUGGUAAUCCAACCUGUUUCACUAUCUGUCGCAGGACUCCUCCUGCUUUCUAAGCAAACUACAGGGCUGCCCAUCCACUGCUUAGCAGUAUCACUGCAUCUUGUAUCAAUGCCUAGAGGACGAGGGAUUUGGGCCUGGAGAGAUGUACUGAGAACCGCCAUUCCCCGGAUGUGGAUCCUGUAAAAGGUCGCUUUGGCAUAAGUCUCGCCAACAGCGCUUGCGCUGCACCAAGCGUUUUUUCCACAGACAAGCUCCGUCCGUCUGCGAUGCAAACGCACCGCCUGUACCAGCAGCGUUCCCGCAUCCAAUAUGGCUCCUCAAUGGCUUCACUCACUCUUCAGCGCCGCCCUCCAGCCCGGCAGCACACCUCCCCACUAGUCCGGACUUGCCGUGCCCUUUCUCAAAAUGGCGGCUGCCGGCUUCCCCCACGGCUGUCCGGCGAGGGCUGAGACGCCUUUCCCUCGAGUAAAAUGGCGGCGAGGAGGGCUCGCGCCCCGCCCCUCCCAGGUGACGGCCAGGUCGCGCGGUCACGUGGCGGGAUGUGAGGGGUCGGAGCGGUGCCCAUCUUAUGUCUGCCCUUCGUGGCUCUGCCGUGCGCUCGGUUCCCGCUCGGCUCCACAUGGUGUCCGCGGCCGGUGGGCUGGAAUCGGCGGGGCCGGUGGGCGCAGGGCUCCUCGGAGCUGCGGUGGCAUCGAGCUCCCGGGGCUGCUGCUGGGGCGGGGAAGCCCGUUGUGGGGGCUGGAGGUAUUGCGGGCUGCAGCCCUGCUCUGGGGGCGUCUCUCCCCGCCUGAGAUCCCCUUUGGACGUGAUGGCUGUGCCCUGCUGCUCCGCGCUCUGCUUCCGUGCGCAGCUUGUGACCGUCGUGUGUUGGGAUGCCCGUGCCAAAUUUUGAUGCCUCUUUCUACAUUCUCCAAGUAGAGGUUGUAGGUGAUGGAUAACCAACAGAUGGCACCAGGCCCUCCCAUAUGCUCUAUGAAAAUAAUGGGAAUGAAUUCCAAGGCUGUGAGUGGUGGCUGAUGAGAGAAGCUAAAUAGAAGAACCUCGAAAUUAAACUGAUUGGUAAACUAAUCCAAGCCUUUGGAUUUAUAUGCUUUUUCUUUUUCUGAUAUGUCUGACUCUUAGUUAUUUUGAUGGACCAGUGUUUUUAUGUUGCACUGCACGAGGUACAGAAUCUCUAGGAUUUGGUGCGCUUACAUUGAUGCUUCUCUCAAACAGACUGGUUUUGCUUUUCUGUUGGUACAUUAUGUUCUGGACAGUGAUUUUCUACUGAUUUGCUUGUGUCAAGUGACAUUAAUGCUUAGACUUAAUCACAGUGGUGAAUAUAAAUGAUUUAUUGUGAGGGCUGCAUUUCUGAAUAAUAAAGAGUUCACUGUCCACAGUAAAGCUUCUGAAGUUAUGGUUCCCAUCCUGUUAAGAAAGUCUGACCUUUCUGCUGUAAUAUGGGAAGGUAUAUACAAUGUACACCUAUUCUGGAGUGUUUCCCUUUGUGUUGCUGACUAUUUUUUGUCAGUGUCAGUCUUGCACUCUGGGGAGACGUGGAUGCUUGAGAAAUUGAACUUGGAGAGGGGGUGGGGUGGGAGGUGUGUACUUGACAGGAGUUUUUGCUUUGCUAUGCUUUUAGAGUAGAAUGUAAGUUCUAUGUAUGAAAUAUUUAAAUAAUGUCUUGUUUCUGUGUUAUUGACAUUCCCUAUGACCAUGUCUUGAAGUGAAAUAAUGGAGAAAAACAUUGUCUAACAAGCUGUAGAGCCAGUGUUAAUAAUAUGUACUGUGUAACAAGGCUAACCGUUGUAGAGAGCUCUCACAGCAUGAAUGUUCUUUUCAGCAAGGCUACAGGCAGCAGGCUUAAGAAUGAGAUAAACAAGUGUCUGCCUUGAAUUUUCAUACAGAAUUUUUCCCUGGACGGCUGAUGAAGUCAGAACAAUUUUCAUUGGCAAACUAAAACUGUGGAGUUCAGUAAUGACUGUGAAAUAUUUAUUUACGUGUAUAUGUGAUUACGUUUUGUUUCAACACAUACUGAUUUCUUGAAAUGUUUUUUUAAUUUUUGCUUAGUAGAUAUGGAGUGAAAGGACAUUUCACAGGAAAUGGAUCAAGAUAUGUCUCUAUUUUUUUUUCUCAGAAGUGAAAGUUUCUUUGUUAUCACCUGUGAUUUGCUUGUCUGAUUUUUCUCUAGAACAGAGACCUUAAUCCUGUGAGUACUGGUCUAGUGCUUGAUGACUCUACCCAUUGCAGAGGUUUGAAGUGAGAUGAUCUUCGAGGUCCUUUUCAAUCCAGGCUGUUCUGAUUCACUUACUGACCUCUUGUGGUAGUCGCAGGUGGUGAGUGCUGCAGAUGGGGCAGUGGCAGUCGAAGACAGCGUGGUGGUGGCAGCAGGAGCUGGUGAGGGUGCUGUUCCCACUGAACAGGAGGCUGCUGCUGAAGAUGACAAACCUCAGGGAGAAGGAAAGAAAAGGUCAGCAGCAUCCCUUCAGUAAUAAUAGAGCCAGUAUUGAACAAUGAAGGGGAAGGAGAAGAACAUGAUGUCAUUGUGAAUGAGUCCAAAGAUGCUGCAGCAGAGAUGGGCACUCAGGGCACUGACAGUGAAACUUCCCAAGUUGGAAGUGAGCAGAAACCAACUGAAGAAAUCCAGACUGCACCUUCUCAAGAUCAGCUUGCAUCAGCAGGAGACACAGCUUCUGACAUGCCACCGGGCUUUCUCUUUAAGAUUGAAGUUCUGCAUGAUUUUUGGCAGCAAAAAAUGAUGAGCUUAAUUUAAAAUGAGGGGAUAUUGUACUAGUAAUUCCUUCUGAGACCACAGCUGAUAGGUAAUAACAUGAUUAUUUCUUUUGUUAAUGUUUCCCUUUGUCUCAGUUUUCUUCUCAGUGUUUAUAGUUAAUUUGAAAUGUUGAUUCAAAACGUCUUUACUGUUAGAAAACACCAACAUUCUUAAUUUGUCCUUUUACUUGGUUUAAUUUGUGACCAAACAGCACAGUUAACUAAGCUAAAGUCCCAUGUAUAUACUACCAACAGGAUCCAACUUCAGUACAUUUUUCUAGGGCACUUUUAUGUUACUCUGUAUUGGAUUUUAUACAGGCUUACAUAGGUACAUAGGCUUAAUACAGAAGAUGGCUUACAAAUUGUGCAUCCUGUUGCUAUCAUUUUGUUGUAUCAUUGAGUCAGAACUGAUUGUAUGUUUUCCACAUGUUCAGAGUUUUACAUGGAGAUCUGGAGAAAUAUACUUUCACCCAGAGAGAGCACUGAGACUACACACAAACAGUUCUGUCCUACAGCUAAAUCGCACAGAGGUAUUCCUACAUGUUCUGUGUGCCUCUGGGAACUUGAGCCUCACACAGCUGUGCUGUUGAACUGCACCAGCAAUCACUUUGUCUUUGAUGCAAGAACCCAACAGUUCAAUGUCAUUUAAGAUAUUUAAUUUUGUUUUAACAGUGUGUUUCAGGUUAAUUUUUAAACAAUUUAAUUCCACAUGUUAUAUUGAAUUGCAGUCAAGAGAAUUAAAUUUUUGACUACUUCUUUAGGAGAAGACCAUCUUGCACAAUUAGUACGAGCCACUUUGUGGCUGUAGUGGCAGAAAGUGUUGAUGAAAAGUAUACCACUGAACUAGGGGCUGGGAGAUUGGCGUCUGGAUCCUGCACAGUGAGAUAGCCAGAUGCUCUGCUCUGAAUGAAGAACAUUUCUUAAAAUAUGCCCAAAUACUGUCUAGUGCAUAUUUGGAGAGCCAGAUGCUGUUCAUUAUCUAAGCUGAACUCUUUCUUAAUACAAGAGACGAGUAACUGUUUUGGUUUUUGAUUCUUUUUUAUUAUUAUUUCUGAAUAAAAGGUUAUUUUUAUUUUCCUUUUCACUAAGACACUUCAUUAUUUUUUUAGGGACAGAUUCUCUUAUACUUACUCAAACUGUGCUGUGUCAUACCUCUUGGGCUGUUCAACUGAUUUUAUUGUCAGUAUUUGCAGAAUAUUACUCUAAGGAUAUAAAAAUAGGUUGUCUUCAGUUAUUUUUUCUUACAAUGUUUUGUAUUAAGUAUGUACAACCUUCACUUGGGAAUCCAUUAAUUAUUUUUUCUUGUGGGGUGCAUCCAAAUCCCAUUAACAUUAAUUGGAGUAAAUUGUGUGCAGUGAUGGAGAAAAUAAAUCUUCAUGUAUUCAUGUUUCUGAGAUCAUUCUGCUCAUAUCUUUAUUACUCAGUGCAUAUUUGCCCUUCAUGUUUAACAUCACCCUAAAACUUAAUUUUUCUCUUUUACUGGAUACUUUGUUGAUUUAUAGAGAGUAUUUUAUCUUGGUUCUUUUUUCUCCUGCAAAAUUGAUCUAAAAUCAUCAUUCUGAUAUAGCUAAUGCUGUGUCAUGUUUUGUGAUUUUUGCUUUUCAGUAUUCCACAUCAUAACAUCAUGUAGGGCACUGGGAGUUUAACUGUUAAUGCUCAAGUUUUGGGUACCUGCCCAGGAGAGAAGAACUACGUUCCCCAGGGACUUUGUGGUCACAGAGAGUCUCGAGAUAGAACUCCUGGCAAGGUCACGUGAUGCGCUCUUCUUUGUCUGCUCUUCGUCGGCUCUCCGCCCGUCUCCCCACUGCUCAGCCGGACUGCGCAUCUCACCUCAGUGUUGUGGAGGCUGGCUGGUUGACAAGCAUUAAGGAAUCUGAGUGGUUUCAGUACAGAGAUGCAAAUAGUUAUAAAGGACUUUUUCCAGAGAACUUCACACGCCAUCUGGAAUAGUUCUUCUCUCAGGCACACGAAUGUGGUAUGAAGCUAAAUCAGUAGGUUUUUAACCUCUUUGAAACACAGGAGCCCACUUUUUUGUAGUUCAGGCUGUUAAUGGUUUACAGAUCGGUGCCAGACAAAGCUUGCUGAAGCAUAUCAAAAUGAGCAUGAGUGCAAACAGUUAAGCUAGCAAUUUCUGAAGCAGUGAGUGAAAAAAAAAAUCAAGUAAAAACAGAGAUGUCCUUAUUUGUUCACAUGUACGUGGCAACAGGUUUGUUUGUGCUUUGUCAGAGCUAUGGUGAUCUUGUAUUUGGUCCUUUCCCAUGAAAUUCAAAAUUAGCCUCCUUGAUAGCAAAAUCUUAACUUCUCUGCACUAUGUAUAUUGUAUUGAGUUGCACUGCAGAAAAUUUAAUUAGUAAUCCUGUAGUAAUGAGGUCAAACCAUUAUAAGUUUCAUGUGUUUAAAAAAUAUAAUUAACUGCUGCAACAUAUUUCAGUGUUACUUUUGGACAUGCAUAAUAUAUUUACACAGUAACUUGAAUGUGUAUAUACAUAAGUGCAUAUGGGUAUAUAUGCAUUGAAACAAUAUCAUUGUAGUUCUUUGACUGUGUAGCGUCAUCAGUACAUGCAUUGCUCUCUCACUGUCUGGCAUUACAGGAAACAGUUUUUUUCCAAAGCAAAACUAGCUGCUCCAUUGCCAAAAUACUGAACAGUAUCCAUGUUAGUAACGUGAAAUUUUCAUUCUGAGAUGAUGAAUAACACCAUUUUCAAAGCAGCUAAACCUUUGAGAAGGCAUGGCUCACUUUCCUCUUCCAGCUGCAGUAGUUACAGUGAGAUAAUCUGGAAGGGGAACUGUAUUGAUGCUAAUCUAUACUUUUUUAUUUAAUUGGAUGAAUAAUAAUAAAAAAAAAAAAAAAAAAAAAGAAUCUCUGAGAAAUAAACAUAUUUUCACAAUAAGUAUUUAUGCAGCAAACCUUCACAAAUCCUUUUAAAUUAAGAUAUAUAAUGUAUCCUGUAUCAAAAAGUCAUCUGUAACUUACAUUUUCCCGUGCUGUGUCAUUAAAAAUGUGUUCUACUGGGGAAUCUAAUUUUAAUUUAAUACCUCUUUUUCCAAAGAAACACAGCGCAACUGGUGCACCAUCUAAACUCUUGCUUUCAACCUCAAGAUUCCAACAGGUCUGAUUCCCAGCUCAGCACAUCUCCUGGCUGCUCCUCCUGGAAAUGGGCUCUGGGCACCAGCAGCAACAAGGGAACUUGUCCGUGCCCAACUGUCACUCAGACUUCUACCUCUUAUUUGUUUCUUGCUCAUCCAUUUAUCUUGUGUGAAAAGAAAACUCUCCGUCAGUCUACUCUGUUCUAUUUGCUGAUGCACGGAAGAUACAAACAUUUAGGAACACCCACAUUUUCCUAGCAGUUCAGUUAUUUUUUGUGAUAUUUUGGUUGUGAGCUUUUUUUGUAUGUGUAUAAAUUCUUUCUACUCUAAUUUGUCAGACUUCAGUUGAAGAAAUAGAAUUGUAUUGUUCCUCUGAAAGAGAAGGGAAGUUGCUUUCUUGGUAUCUACUGAAUUCAGUAGCUUUCAAAAGGAGCUUUGAUGGUAACUGUAUUUUGUGGAAAAGUGGAGUGGCUCGACUGUGGUAGCUGGGAUUUUGGCUUUAAAAUGUUACAGUGAGCAACUGGAGUCUUGGGAUGUUGUGGAAAGCUCUUUGGUUUUCUUAUCAAACCUUUAACAAUCUUGGAAAUCAAUAGUGAUCCAGCACCAAGAAUUUCUCCAGGGGAACAACUUUUCAUUUUUGAUGUUACAGUAAAUUCCGGACUCUGGUGCAUCAGGUUGUCAUAAUGAUGUUAAACCUCAUGUAUGGUGCAACUCUGAUAACCUCCAGGCCACAGUUUCCUGCCUACCUAGAUCUCAAAAUUUGCUUUUCAGCAAUAGCUGUUCUACAGACCACUGCAGAUGACCCACAAUGGCGCUUCCAUUUCCCUGUGCAAUCUGCAUGGUCACUUCUCAGACAAUCAAGUGGGAACAUCAUUACAGCCAUAUUGCUAAAGAAGCAAAGCAUGGUGUGAAAUCCCCAAGGAAUCUCUUUACCCAGUGAUGUCUGUGUGCAGUUAUCUUUGUUAUCUCUUCUUGCUAGAAGUAUCCAAGUCAAAUUUAACACUCUUGACCUUGAUACUCCUAAAACCUAGGCAUAGGUGUAUGUGUCAAAUUCCCUGAUAGGAGAUUUGAGGUAUGCAUGAGAUUGUACUUGGAUAGGAAAGGUGCCUAAUCUACAGCAAAGAAUUUUCAUGCUGCCCUCUGAUUUGCUCUUUAGCAAUACUUCUUACUCCUAUUCUGUGUUUCUAAAAAUCUCUUCAGUAUAAAGAAAAAUACAGUUUCAAGAACCAUCUAAUGUCUGCCUCUCACUGCAAGCACUGUCAUUAUUUGCUGAAAGUAUGAAGAUGUACAGAUAAUGUCCCAGCAGCCAUGCUAUUGCACAUGAUGCAUAUGUGAUUGAUGCGCUGAAGGUUACCGUGGACAUGACACGGUGCUGGCAUGAAGUACAUCUUACAUCUCACAUCUACACUUCAGAUCCACAAAGCAAAUAGGCUUCUUGUGGGAAGGAUGAGGAGAAUUAUUAAUGUUAUCCUUGAAAGUCCUUGCAAAAAUUCAUAUAACAAGAUGAUAGAUGCAAAAGGAAUAGAUGCACCAGGAGAGAAAGUGUGCUGUGGGUACAAUCUUGCUCGAACUGCAUGGGACUUGUUUGCACAGUGCUCUGGUUACUGAUGCCCUAGCAGCAGGAAACAAAAAGUAAAUCACAGUCUCAUUAAGCUCAUGCUUAAUGAAUGUGUUUAAGUAUCUUUCUUACUCGAGGAAAAAAGACAAUGUUGCUAUGAUAGGUAAGGUAAGUGGAUGAGGUGGUGGGUGUAGGUGCAGUUUGCAAGACUGGGAAGGCAGAGCACAAGCAGCCAUUCCACUGUACAAAAGCUCAAAUAGGAUUUUAUUGUUAGUUUGCAAAACAGAUUUAAAAGAUCUUUUUUAUUUGAAACAAUAUGUCACAGGUGAUGACUUACCAUUUGAUAAGCCAAUUCCUGUCUACAAAAAGUAGUUAGCCCAGUUAAUUAAGGUCACAUUUCUGAAAGCAGUGCAAAAGAGCACAGAGAUGUUUUUCUAUCUGCUGUAAUGAGCAGAGCUGGCUCUGAUGUGUUCUCUGGCAGCAAAAUGUUUGCUGCAGAUCGGAGACUGCAGGCAGGCCAUGGGGCUGAGAGCCAGGUGCUUUGCGAGAGUAAAAGCUUUGUUGUAAUUCAGGGGGAGGAAUUUGAGGUAAUGUGAUCUUUGUCCAUGUCUAGAAUCAGAGAAUACAAAGUGGGGCAUGGUUUUAAACUGAGCAUUUCCUCAAAUGUAUAGAUACACGAUAAAAUAGCCAUUUUUCAAGCAUUCCUCUCUCAGAUCUCCACCCACUGAUUUCAGCUCUGAUGCUGUUUUUGCAUGUAGCUGCCUCCAGCAACAUUUCAAACACACCUGUGUUACUCUUGUAUGGAUGUCUUCACUCUGACCCAUUAGAAUCACAUGAGGAACACCACAGCACUUUCCAAAUACUUCCUCCUGUAAAUCAGAAGGGAUACUUCAUAAUUAACAUUAUUCUAGCAAAGCUGAAAUCAAUCCAAAGGGAACUGUGCUACAUAGCACAGUGUGCUUAGAAGCAGUUAACAGAAACUUUGCUGAAAGAAAAUGCUUAGAAAAUAAUGAAAGUACUACUCCGUGCACAGACAGGACUUCUGCCUAGCCACAGACAAUAAAUGCAAUGCAGAGAAGAGCAAAGCAGCAUGUAGCCAUUGGAAAUAAGGUCUGCAGGAGUCAGAGACUUACAUGUGCCAAAGAGCAUCAACCUCCUCCAUCCUGGUGGGUGUGUGCUGAAGUACCAUUGUGCAAGGCCACCAUCUGCCAUGCAUUCAAGCAAGGCAUGCAUCUACACUGCUGGGUACUGUUGGUCCUAAUAGCCCAGGGUUCAAAGGUUCUCCAGAAGCUGUCAGAAAAGCAGGCCCAACUUGAAGCUGGGUGGCUCUUCUGGAAUAAAGCACUGCCUCUUUGUAGCUAAUAACAAGCAAAAAAGUCCCAGAUAUAUCCCGAGCAUGGCUUUAGAGCAGAAAACAAACUGGAGUCUCUCCCUUUUGGUGCUGCUGUGCCACUCAGCUUGCUGUGGCACAGACUAACCGUGUCUAAUUGUGCCUGUUCGGUUGGUAGGUGGACCGUUCCUAGCACAGCACAUAACAGGACAUAAAAACCCUGGAACAGUGUCUUUGUAAGUUUAGAUUAUUAAAUUUCCAAGAUACAUUCUUCAAAGGAGGAGGUGAGUGUUUUUCAAACUUCCUGUACUAUGUACAUUUCAGGACAGAUUUUAUAUACAAGUUUUGUUUGUUUCUUUAAUUUAAACAUGUUGAGCUGCAAUGGAAGGAAGCUGUGUAUCAGUGAAUGAAAAAAAAAAAAAAAGAAAAACAAAACAAGAAACCAUCACAACCAUGUAAUCUUGAAGAAUAAUCUGUGUGUCAAAAUAACAUUGCUGAAUGUGAAGGUGAUACAAAAUUCUCUCAGUGGCCAAAAUCGGACUGACCCUAGACCUGACAAAAUGCUGUGACCCCACAGAUCUUUGGAGAAAUAACUGAAAGUAGAAACUGCCUGUAGUCAUUCACAGGGAUUCAGAAUACUUAAAAUAAAGUCUAUGUAUGAUAAAUGUUUUACUGGAGAAGCUAUAAAAAUUCUGAGUCUUUGAGUAUCUUCUGGUGCAGGAAUGAUCAUAUUCCUGUCCAUUUAGAAAAGUACUCUUCAAAAUAAAAGGGAUUGGUGCACUAUUGUUCUGCUUGAAAAUGUCAGCAUGCUAUAGGAAUUCUCAGCAUACACCCGCGCUCAUUACACAGCUGCUCAAAAAGUUUACUCCUUUACUCACAGCAGAGGGUGGUAGGCACUAGAAUUUGUAUUUAAUGGGUACCAUUUGAUUCAGUCUUCAGAUACAAUUUUUUUUUGCAAUGACCUCUCAUUAUCUAAAGUUGGCUCACAGCUGCAGACACAGGGCAAAUGAAAUGAGUCUUAUGUACACAGUAACUGGCUACUUCAGCAUGCUGGCAGAUGAAGAUAGAGCAGCACAUUACAGAGCUGUUCUCUAACUCAUUGCUGCAACACAUCUUUGUGUUUCACGCAUGUUAAAACUUACAAUAUAGAUCAAACUGAAGCAGCUGCUCAUGGGAAAUCUGCACCAUGUAAUGAGAUAUUCAGCUGAUUCAAUUCAAAAAUACAAUGUUGAGCUAAGAGAAGAAAGUAAUUUUUUUAUGCUACCUCUGCUUAAAGCAAGUUUAUAGUUCAUCUGUGUUUAAAUAAACAGCUAAAUUACUAAAAAUGAGAAGAUUUAAAAACCUUUAAGUGGUCUCAUGUUCUAACUCCUUGGCACUACUUUGAUCCUAUUAAGCCAACAUCCCUCACAAUUUUCUUACAUAUCUACUCCUGUGGGCAGCCUGGUCUAGUAUUAAAUAUGGAGGUUGGUGGCCCUGCCUGUGGCAGGGGGGUUGGAACUUGGUGAUCCUCGAGGUCCUUUCCAACUCAAGCCAUUCUAUGAUUCUAUGAUCCUCUGCCUCCAUCUCUCUCAGUUCACUUACCUGUGCUUAGCUCUGGUUUCACUGGGAUGUUGUUUGUCUGCAUUUGCAGUGCUGUGGUAUUUGACUUUCAGCUAAAACACUAGAACUAAAUGAACAUUAGCAGUCUUUUCAUGCUGAGUGCCUGCAGCCAACAAGCCAGUUCCUUGCAGGGGACUGUGCUCAAUUCCCUGACCCUGGCUCUUGAGACUCCAAAAAUCCUGCAUCUUUCCUCCUAAGCAAAGUCCUCAAAACUCAGCCCUGGUUGAGUUCAUGAUCUUGAGGGAUGUGGGCUUGGCGAAGAGUGGCGUCAGGACC